Molecule: long non-coding RNA, 307 nt
Filed under: Mytilus galloprovincialis (Mediterranean mussel)
Lineage: Eukaryota; Metazoa; Mollusca; Bivalvia; Mytilida; Mytilidae
Source: RNAcentral
CUGUGUGUGUAUUCAUUAAUUAACCAUAAAUGGAAAAAAUAGUAUAUAAACUCUAAUUAUACUUGAAUGUUUUUGUUUUAUUCCAAUUUUCAUAAAUCUGGGUUUAGUUGUCUUUUAUUAGAACUUUUGGUUUCUGAUGCUUUAUCAUGUCAGAAUUAAUUUGGCCUUUCACUUUUUCCAACUGAUUUCGUUUUUGAGGAAACCCUGCUUUUAUUAGCAAUGUUCUCGUUAAGGUACGUACACACGCCCGUGUGUUCGAUGGACGCUUCCUAAAAACACUGACUGAGUCUUGUUAUCAUCAUAACUU